GGCCGGGGAGGUGAGCGGCGGGCGGUGGCGGCCGUUGGGGGCUGAGGCCGGAAGUGUCUGACGUACAAAAGCAUGCUUUUGGUUAGUGGCGCUUUCAUUGAUUAUUCUAGAAUCUCAGGUGGGAGGCCAGGUUCUCAAUAAAGGUGCUAAGAAAGAGAAUGUAAGACAGGAAAAUAAAUAUUCUUACUGAGACAAAACAAGUAUAUAUGGAGUCCUCUACCACAUGUGAUUCUUGAAUAUUUGAAUAAGAUGAACUUCCAGCAUUCAGGAAAGAACACUGUGAGGACGUGAGGUUGAGUUUCAUUAUAAGCUUAAGUUCACUUAACAACCCUUGAUAGAACAUUUCUAAAUGCAU
This 355-nucleotide long non-coding RNA is filed under the name Rhinopithecus bieti (black snub-nosed monkey). Its description in RNAcentral is "lncRNA (ENSRBIG00000045856.1)". The record is from RNAcentral. Lineage: Eukaryota; Metazoa; Chordata; Mammalia; Primates; Cercopithecidae.